CUGGCACGGUAAGCGGUCACUUUUGCAUCUUGCAAAAGAGGAAAGUCCGAGCUGCGAUAAGACAAAGUUCCAUCUAACGGAUGGCUAGGGAAACCUAAGGGAUAGUGUAACAGAAAGCAAACUUCCGCCUUGGCGGUAAAGGUGAAACGGCGGGGUAAGAGCCCACCGGCACGCUUGGUAACUUGCGUGGCCAUAUAAACCCAACUUGCAGUAAGAAGGGAUGGUUUUGGUCUUAUAUUAAAACCCUUCGCUAGAGCUUGUUUGUAAAAGCAAGCGUAGAUAAAUGAUCGCUCAAGACAGAACUCGGCUUAACGCCGUGCCUCCCUU
RNAcentral lists this RNase P RNA (327 nucleotides) under Campylobacter concisus. RNAcentral describes it as "RNase P RNA component class A". It matches the Rfam family "Bacterial RNase P class A". Rfam says of the family: Ribonuclease P (RNase P) is a ubiquitous endoribonuclease, found in archaea, bacteria and eukarya as well as chloroplasts and mitochondria. Its best characterised activity is the generation of mature 5'-ends of tRNAs by cleaving the 5'-leader elements of precursor-tRNAs. Cellular RNase Ps are ribonucleoproteins. Lineage: Bacteria; Pseudomonadati; Campylobacterota; Epsilonproteobacteria; Campylobacterales; Campylobacteraceae. The record is from RNAcentral.